Molecule: ribosomal RNA, 197 nt
Filed under: Aquicella sp. 1(27-11)
Lineage: Bacteria; Pseudomonadati; Pseudomonadota; Gammaproteobacteria; Legionellales; Coxiellaceae
Description: partial 16S ribosomal RNA
Rfam family: Bacterial small subunit ribosomal RNA
Source: RNAcentral
CCUACGGGAGGCAGCAGUGGGGAAUUUUGGACAAUGGGGGCAACCCUGAUCCAGCGAUGCCGCGUGAGUGAAGAAGGCCUUCGGGUCGUAAAGCUCUUUAGGUUGGGAAGAAGUUUGUGUGGGGAUAAUCCAUGCAGAUUGACGGUACCGACAGAAUAAGCACCGGCAAACUCUGUGCCAGCAGCCGCGGUAAUAAU